UGGAUGAACGCUGGCGGCGUGCCUAAUACAUGCAAGUCGAACGAGUUCUCGUUGAUGAUCGGUGCUUGCACCGAGAUUCAACAUGGAACGAGUGGCGGACGGGUGAGUAACACGUGGGUAACCUGCCCUUAAGUGGGGGAUAACAUUUGGAAACAGAUGCUAAUACCGCAUAGAUCCAAGAACCGCAUGGUUCUUGGCUGAAAGAUGGCGUAAGCUAUCGCUUUUGGAUGGACCCGCGGCGUAUUAGCUAGUUGGUGAGGUAAUGGCUCACCAAGGCGAUGAUACGUAGCCGAACUGAGAGGUUGAUCGGCCACAUUGGGACUGAGACACGGCCCAAACUCCUACGGGAGGCAGCAGUAGGGAAUCUUCCACAAUGGACGCAAGUCUGAUGGAGCAACGCCGCGUGAGUGAAGAAGGCUUUCGGGUCGUAAAACUCUGUUGUUGGAGAAGAAUGGUCGGCAGAGUAACUGUUGUCGGCGUGACGGUAUCCAACCAGAAAGCCACGGCUAACUACGUGCCAGCAGCCGCGGUAAUACGUAGGUGGCAAGCGUUAUCCGGAUUUAUUGGGCGUAAAGCGAGCGCAGGCGGUUUUUUAAGUCUGAUGUGAAAGCCCUCGGCUUAACCGAGGAAGCGCAUCGGAAACUGGGAAACUUGAGUGCAGAAGAGGACAGUGGAACUCCAUGUGUAGCGGUGAAAUGCGUAGAUAUAUGGAAGAACACCAGUGGCGAAGGCGGCUGUCUGGUCUGUAACUGACGCUGAGGCUCGAAAGCAUGGGUAGCGAACAGGAUUAGAUACCCUGGUAGUCCAUGCCGUAAACGAUGAAUGCUAGGUGUUGGAGGGUUUCCGCCCUUCAGUGCCGCAGCUAACGCAUUAAGCAUUCCGCCUGGGGAGUACGACCGCAAGGUUGAAACUCAAAGGAAUUGACGGGGGCCCGCACAAGCGGUGGAGCAUGUGGUUUAAUUCGAAGCAACGCGAAGAGCCUUACCAGGUCUUGACAUCUUUUGAUCACCUGAGAGAUCAGGUUUCCCCUUCGGGGGCAAAAUGACAGGUGGUGCAUGGUUGUCGUCAGCUCGUGUCGUGAGAUGUUGGGUUAAGUCCCGCAACGAGCGCAACCCUUAUGACUAGUUGCCAGCAUUUAGUUGGGCACUCUAGUAAGACUGCCGGUGACAAACCGGAGGAAGGUGGGGAUGGCGUCAAAUCAUCAUGCCCCUUAUGACCUGGGCUACACACGUGCUACAAUGGAUGGUACAACGAGUUGCGAGACCGCGAGGUCAAGCUAAUCUCUUAAAGCCAUUCUCAGUUCGGACUGUAGGCUGCAACUCGCCUACACGAAGUCGGAAUCGCUAGUAAUCGCGGAUCAGCACGCCGCGGUGAAUACGUUCCCGGGCCUUGUACACACCGCCCGUCACACCAUGAGAGUUUGUAACACCCGAAGCCGGUGGCGUAACCCUUUUAGGGAGCGAGCCGUCUAAGGUGGGACAAAUGA
This 1486-nucleotide ribosomal RNA is filed under the name uncultured organism. RNAcentral describes it as "SSU rRNA". It matches the Rfam family "Bacterial small subunit ribosomal RNA". The record is from RNAcentral.